AUGACCCUCUCCAUUCUCCAGGUAGUAGCAGAAAUUUGGACACAUGUAAGCAGAAAGAGAUACAUGAGGACUAGGGAGUUUGAAAGUUUAAGAUAUGACAUCCAGAUGACCCAAUCUCCAUCAUUCCUGUCUGCAUCUCCAGGCGACAGAGUCUCUAUCACUUGCCAGGCCAGUCAGGACAUUAACUAUUAUUUACACUGGUAUCAGCAGAAACCAGGGAAUGCUCCAAAGCUUCUGAUCUAUAACGCAAAUAGUUUAGCCUCUGGAAUUCCAUCAAGGUUCAGUGGGAGUCAAUCUGGGACCAAGUUCACUAUCACAAUCAGCAGCCUACAGUCUGAUGAUUUUGCCACUUAUUACUAUCUACAGGGUAGUAGUUACCCUCACACAGUGAUACAAGCCAUAACAUAA
Molecule: non-coding RNA, 408 nt
Organism: Dipodomys spectabilis (banner-tailed kangaroo rat)
Lineage: Eukaryota; Metazoa; Chordata; Mammalia; Rodentia; Heteromyidae
Source: the annotation of a RefSeq genome assembly